This 1497-nucleotide ribosomal RNA is filed under the name unidentified. RNAcentral describes it as "Cochliobolus sp. partial small subunit ribosomal RNA". It matches the Rfam family "Eukaryotic small subunit ribosomal RNA", at positions 55 to 1445 of the family's 1831-position model. The record is from RNAcentral.
CGGUCUAGUAUAAGGCAUUAUACCGUGAAACUGCGAAUGGCUCAUUAAAUCAGUUAUCGUUUAUUUGAUAAUACCUUACUACUUGGAUAACCGUGGUAAUUCUAGAGCUAAUACAUGCUGAAAAUCCCGACUUCGGAAGGGAUGUGUUUAUUAGAUAAAAAACCAAUGCCCUUCGGGGCUCUUUGGUGAUUCAUGAUAACUUUACGGAUCGCAUAGCCUUGCGCUGGCGACGGUUCAUUCAAAUUUCUGCCCUAUCAACUUUCGAUGGUAAGGUAUUGGCUUACCAUGGUUUCAACGGGUAACGGGGAAUUAGGGUUCGAUUCCGGAGAGGGAGCCUGAGAAACGGCUACCACAUCCAAGGAAGGCAGCAGGCGCGCAAAUUACCCAAUCCCGACACGGGGAGGUAGUGACAAUAAAUACUGAUACAGGGCUCUUUUGGGUCUUGUAAUUGGAAUGAGUACAAUUUAAACCUCUUAACGAGGAACAAUUGGAGGGCAAGUCUGGUGCCAGCAGCCGCGGUAAUUCCAGCUCCAAUAGCGUAUAUUAAAGUUGUUGCAGUUAAAAAGCUCGUAGUUGAAACUUGGGCCUGGCUGGCGGGUCCGCCUCACCGCGUGCACUCGUCCGGCCGGGCCUUCCUUCUGAAGAACCUCAUGCCCUUCACUGGGCGUGUUGGGGAAUCAGGACUUUUACUUUGAAAAAAUUAGAGUGUUCAAAGCAGGCCUUUGCUCGAAUACGUUAGCAUGGAAUAAUAAAAUAGGGCGUGCGUUUCUAUUUUGUUGGUUUCUAGAGACGCCGCAAUGAUUAACAGGAACAGUCGGGGGCAUCAGUAUUCAGUUGUCAGAGGUGAAAUUCUUGGAUUUACUGAAGACUAACUACUGCGAAAGCAUUUGCCAAGGAUGUUUUCAUUAAUCAGUGAACGAAAGUUAGGGGAUCGAAGACGAUCAGAUACCGUCGUAGUCUUAACCGUAAACUAUGCCGACUAGGGAUCGGGCGAUGUUCUUUUUCUGACUCGCUCGGCACCUUACGAGAAAUCAAAGUUUUUGGGUUCUGGGGGGAUUAUGGUCGCAAGGCUGAAACUUAAAGAAAUUGACGGAAGGUCACCACCAGGCGUGGAGCCGCGGCUUAAUUUGACUCACACGGGGAAAUCUCCAGGUCCCAUGAAAUAAGGAUUGGCCAAUUGGAACCCUUCUUGAUUUUUCGGGGGGGGGGGAGGGCGGUCUUAUUUUGGGGGGGAUGUUGUGUUUAAUGUGAAAACAACAGAGACUAUUUGUUAAAAAACAGGAAAAUUUUGUGGGGGCCCGCCUUUUAGAGAAAUAACCCCCUUUAGGGAAUUUGGGGAAAAAAGCUGUGGGCCCUUAUUUUUGGGGCCCCCCCCCCCUCAAAAAAAAAAAAUUUCCCUUUCCAAGGGGGGAAGUUGUAUUUUGGGGGGGAGGAAAAAAUUUUUUCAAAAAAAAAAAAGGGGGACCCGCGUUUUUCCUUUUCCCCCCCCCCUAUCAG